Molecule: ribosomal RNA, 253 nt
Filed under: uncultured bacterium
Lineage: Bacteria
Description: partial 16S ribosomal RNA
Rfam family: Bacterial small subunit ribosomal RNA
Source: RNAcentral
GACAGAGGGUGCAAACGUUGUUCGGAAUUACUGGGCGUAAAGCGCGUGUAGGCUGCCCCGCAAGUCGGAUGUGAAAGCCCUGGGCUCAACCUAGGAAGUGCAUUCGAAACUGCGGGGCUGGAGUCCCGGAGAGGAAGGCGGAAUUCUCGGUGUAGAGGUGAAAUUCGUAGAUAUCGAGAGGAACACCGGUGGCGAAGGCGGCCUUCUGGACAGUGACUGACGCUGAGACGCGAAAGCGUGGGGAGCAAACAGG